Esox lucius (northern pike) is the source of this 1657-nucleotide long non-coding RNA. The record is from Ensembl. NCBI's taxonomy places the organism in Eukaryota, Metazoa, Chordata, Actinopteri, Esociformes, Esocidae.
UGAUGUUUCAGAGAUCUACCCGGAGCCAAAAACACGGCGUAGAACUGCAUAGCAAGGCAACAAUUCUCAUGAAAGCUCAGUGCCCCCCCACCGCUCCACCACCAAGCAUGGUGAACAUGCGUGCAUAAGCACAUACACGUGCGCGUGCAUUAACACAAAAGCUUCCGGGUUUGAAAAUGUGGUCACCCUACUUCAACCGCACGUGUCUUAAUUAUUUUCAGUUUCUUACAACCUAUUGAUAUCCUCAUCGCACGUAUUCUGGAACUUAAGUCAGGAUAUUAGCUGUUUUCAAGCGAAUAUACGAUGUAUGUUUUAAGGGCAGACGCCAUCUUUCGCGCACGGCCGAGGAGCAUGGCCAGAACAUUUCUGUCACGACCUGACGAGGUUGCAGGACACAGAGGUGGUGGAACAAACAGAGCCGCUACAGUACGGAUGGCGUUGAAAAACAUCUCAGAGAUUUAUUGAAGCUUUUCAGACGCUGUCGGGGAAAUCAGCACACAGCACAUAUGCACCAGCCAAUGAAAGUAGAGAGAAGCAGAUUGUUGGGUCUGAUCUCACACCCCUCCAGACCCCGGCACUUACCACUGACCACGAGGACGGGAGAGAGGGCGGGCAGUCGGGUGCCAUGCCCACACGAGCCCCAUCAAGCACCCAGACCGGGACACUAGAUUACAGGUCUGUCACGCCAGCGUCUUGGAAUGCGUUGUAAUGUCUUGGAGACCCAGUACGAAAAAGACCAAAUCCACAGGCAGAGCCGAAAAACAUUUGAGGCUGGCAUAUAUUAACACUCCGGGUGCCAUUUGGGUUUUAACGUUUCUUAUUAAUAAAAUGCUGGCCGUGAAAUGACCAGCCCUGUUUGGUUGGCGAUGACGACAGUGUCUGGGAGGGUGUAAUUCCCACCUCACAUUACCUUCUCCCUCUAAACCUUUUAUUUUAUUUUUUUCUCCAAAAUGCCCGCCUAAUGGUGUGGCUUUCUAAUAGGGGUUCCUCUGUGAAAUACAUUGUUCUGUUUCUCCUCAAAGGAGCCACAUGUGAUUACACAAAGCUGUUUGCUCCUGAGCAGCUCUACACACGUCAACAUGAGUUAUGAGGGGCUUUCUAACGAGCAUUACAUUUUACACAAGGAGGACAGGAGCAGUUGGACUAGUGCGCGACUACCUCUCAAACCAACAGGGAAAUUAGAAAGGCAUUGAAACUAAUCAAAUAUCAGAAAUGACCUAUUUUCUUCUCAACCCAUCACAUUGUUCUCAUAUUGUUCUAAUCUAAUCCCAUCAACCAAUGCUUGACCCAUUCUAUUAUAAGGCUCUGGCUUUCUUACUUAUACCCACAGACCGGUUGAAGGAUAAAAGUUAAUGACCUUAACAUCCCAUUUUCAGAGGCCCCCUACCUUUAGAGUGUCAUAUUUUAAAGCACCUUAGAGUUCAGUGGAACCAAACAAAUGAGCGAGCACCUCUGCCUAGGAAGACCCUAACCCUAACCCUAACCCUAACCCUAACCCUAACCCUACCACUUAAUAACAGGCCAGAGUGAUUAUAGGCCAUGGAUUCAUAACAGGACUUGAUGGCGAAAACCCAAGGACGGAAGAACAUUGGUAAUCAUGUGUGAUCAGUUCGCAGAAAAUAGGAUUAUCCUGUGGUUUUUCUGGUGCAUCUGAAGG